GAUCGGCCCGCGUCUGAUUAGCUAGUUGGUAAGGUAAUGGCUUACCAAAGCGACCAUCCGUAUCUGGUCUGAAAGGAUGAUCCCCCACACUGGGACUGAGACACGGCCCACACUCCUACGGGAGGCAGCAGUAAGGAAUCUUGGACAAUGGGCGAAAGCCUGAUCCAGCCAUGCCGCGUGAGUGAAAAAAGCCUUAUGGUUGUAAAUCUCUUUUGGCGGGGACGAUAAUGACGGUACCCGCAGAAUAAGCCCCGGCUAACUUCGUGCCAGCAGCCUCGGUAAUACGAAAGGGGCUAGCGUUGUUCGGAAUUACUGGGCGUAAAGCGCUCGCAUGCGGAUUGAUAAGUCGGGGGUGAAAUCCCGGGGCUCAACCUCGGAAUUGCCUUCUAUACUGUCUAUCUAGAGUCCGGGAGAAGUGAAUGUGAUUCCUAAUGUAGAAGUGAAAAUCGUAGAUAUUAAGAAAAACACCAGUGGGGAAGGCCGCUCACUGGCCCGGAACUGACGCUCAUGAACGAAAGCGUGGGGAGCAAACAGGAUUAGAUUCCCUGGUAGUCCACGCCGUAAACGAUGGAUGCUAGCCGUUGGGAAGCUUGCUUUUCAGUGGCGCCAACUAACGUAUUAAGCAUCCCGCCUGGGGAGU
Molecule: ribosomal RNA, 640 nt
Filed under: uncultured Alphaproteobacteria bacterium
Lineage: Bacteria; Pseudomonadati; Pseudomonadota; Alphaproteobacteria
Description: bacterial SSU rRNA
Rfam family: Bacterial small subunit ribosomal RNA
Source: RNAcentral